UGAACUAGAACUGCUUUGUGAAUUAGGUAGUUUCAUGUUGUUGGGCUUCUAGUUUUUUAAACACAAGAACAUAAAACUACCUGAUUUACGCCAGUUA
Pelodiscus sinensis (Chinese soft-shelled turtle) is the source of this 97-nucleotide microRNA precursor. The record is from Ensembl. Lineage: Eukaryota; Metazoa; Chordata; Testudines; Trionychidae.